RNAcentral lists this ribosomal RNA (465 nucleotides) under uncultured bacterium. Its description in RNAcentral is "partial 16S ribosomal RNA". It matches the Rfam family "Bacterial small subunit ribosomal RNA", at positions 28 to 507 of the family's 1533-position model. The record is from RNAcentral.
GACGAACGCUGGCGGCGUGCUUAACACAUGCAAGUCGAACGGAAAGGCCCUGCUUGCAGGGUACUCGAGUGGCGAACGGGUGAGUAACACGUGGGUGAUCUGCCCUGCACUUCGGGAUAAGCCUGGGAAACUGGGUCUAAUACCGGAUAGGAGCCAUUUUUAGUGUGAUGGUUGGAAAGUUUUUUCGGUGUAGGAUGAGCUCGCGGCCUAUCAGCUUGUUGGUGGGGUAAUGGCCUACCAAGGCGGCGACGGGUAGCCGGCCUGAGAGGGUGGACGGCCACAUUGGGACUGAGAGACGGCCCAGACUCCUACGGGAGGCAGCAGGGGGGAAGAUUGCACAAUGGGCGCAAGCCUGAUGCAGCGACGCCGCGUGGGGGAUGACGGCCUUCGGGUUGUAAACUCCUUUCGCUAGGGACGAAGCUUUUUGUGACGGUACCUAGAUAAGAAGCACCGGCUAACUACGUG